UACGUAGGGUGCGAGCGUUGUCCGGAAUUAUUGGGCGUAAAGAGCUUGUAGGCGGUUUGUCGCGUCUGCUGUGAAAUCUCAAGGCUCAACCUUGAGCUUGCAGUGGGUACGGGCAGACUAGAGUGUGGUAGGGGAGACUGGAAUUCCUGGUGUAGCGGUGAAAUGCGCAGAUAUCAGGAGGAACACCUGUGGCGAAAGCGGCUCACUGGACCAUAACUGACGCUGAUGCACGAAAGCUAGGGGAGCAAACAGG
RNAcentral lists this ribosomal RNA (253 nucleotides) under uncultured bacterium. RNAcentral's name for it is "partial 16S ribosomal RNA". It matches the Rfam family "Bacterial small subunit ribosomal RNA", at positions 524 to 776 of the family's 1533-position model. The record is from RNAcentral.